RNAcentral lists this small RNA (659 nucleotides) under Pan troglodytes (chimpanzee). RNAcentral's name for it is "processed transcript". Lineage: Eukaryota; Metazoa; Chordata; Mammalia; Primates; Hominidae. The record is from RNAcentral.
CAUCUUAUUGCAUUGAUUGUGCGUUCUCGAUUUUACAGAGAGUGCUUGUGAUUUCACGUAUUUUUGCUGAACUCGUAAAAGAGACACUUGGAUGGUGGAUUAACCAGAACACUAACAUUCUUUGAAAAGUUUCAAAUUGGAGAAUAUUGAAUUUUCACCCUAGUCCAGCAGCUCCGCUGCUCACUUAAAUACAGAUGAAUGAAGACCCCAUUCGGAAAGACACCUGGCCAGCGGUCCAGAGCUGAUGCAGGCCAUGCUGGAGUAUCUGCCAACAUGAUGAAGAAGAGGACAUCCCACAAAAAACAUCGGAGCAGUGUGGGUCCGAGCAAACCUGUUUCCCAGCCCCGGCGGAACAUCGUAGGCUGCAGGAUUCAGCAUGGGUGGAAAGAGGGGAAUGGCCCUGUUACCCAGUGGAAAGGAACCGUUCUGGACCAGGUGCCUGUAAAUCCUUCUUUGUAUCUUAUAAAAUACGAUGGAUUUGACUGUGUUUAUGGACUAGAACUUAAUAAAGAUGAAAGAGUUUCUGCGCUUGAAGUCCUCCCUGAUAGAGUUGCAACAUCUCGAAUCAGCGAUGCACACUUGGCAGACACAAUGAUUGGCAAAGCAGUGGAACAUAUGUUUGAGACAGAGGAUGGUUCUAAAGAUGAGUGGAGGGGAAU